Molecule: ribosomal RNA, 738 nt
Filed under: uncultured Fusobacterium sp.
Lineage: Bacteria; Fusobacteriati; Fusobacteriota; Fusobacteriia; Fusobacteriales; Fusobacteriaceae
Description: bacterial SSU rRNA
Rfam family: Bacterial small subunit ribosomal RNA
Source: RNAcentral
GAUGAACGCUGACAGAAUGCUUAACACAUGCAAGUCAACUUGAAUUUGGGUUUUUAACUUAGAUUUGGGUGGCGGACGGGUGAGUAACGCGUAAAGAACUUGCCUCACAGCUAGGGACAACAUUUAGAAAUGAAUGCUAAUACCUGAUAUUAUGAUUUUAAGGCAUCUUAGAAUUAUGAAAGCUAUAAGCACUGUGAGAGAGCUUUGCGUCCCAUUAGCUAGUUGGAGAGGUAACAGCUCACCAAGGCGAUGAUGGGUAGCCGGCCUGAGAGGGUGAACGGCCACAAGGGGACUGAGACACGGCCCUUACUCCUACGGGAGGCAGCAGUGGGGAAUAUUGGACAAUGGACCGAGAGUCUGAUCCAGCAAUUCUGUGUGCACGAUGAAGUUUUUCGGAAUGUAAAGUGCUUUCAGUUGGGAAGAAAAAAAUGACGGUACCAACAGAAGAAGUGACGGCUAAAUACGUGCCAGCAGCCGCGGUAAUACGUAUGUCACGAGCGUUAUCCGGAUUUAUUGGGCGUAAAGCGCGUCUAGGUGGUUAUAUAAGUCUGAUGUGAAAAUGCAGGGCUCAACUCUGUAUUUGCGUUGGAAACUGUAUAACUAGAGUACUGGAGAGGUAAGCGGGAACUACAAAGUGUAGAGGUGAAAUUCUUAGAUAUUUGUAGGAAUGCCGAUGGGGAAGCCAGCUUACUGGACAGAUACUGACGCUAAAGCGCGAAAGCGUGGGUAGCAAACAGG